This 1100-nucleotide ribosomal RNA is filed under the name uncultured Pleosporales. RNAcentral's name for it is "eukaryotic LSU rRNA". The stretch from base 490 to 1100 matches the Rfam family "Eukaryotic large subunit ribosomal RNA", at positions 1 to 648 of the family's 3401-position model. Lineage: Eukaryota; Fungi; Ascomycota; Dothideomycetes; Pleosporales. The record is from RNAcentral.
AAGGAUCAUUACUGCUUGCUUACGGUUUCGUUCGGGCAACCGAGCGGGGCCGGGCACGCUACCCUUGCUUAUGUAUACCUAUUGUUAUUCCCUCGGCGGGGAGACCCGCCGCCGGGAUCAAUUAAACCCUUUUGUAUAAAGCAUCAAAACUUCUGAAAACAAAUUAAUAAUUACAACUUUUAACAAUGGAUCUCUUGGUUCUGGCAUCGAUGAAGAACGCAGCGAAAUGCGAUAAGUAGUGUGAAUUGCAGACUUUAGUGAAUCAUCGAAUCUUUGAACGCACAUUGCGCCCCUUGGUAUUCCAUUGGGCAUGCCUGUUCGAGCGUCAUUUACAUCCUCAAGCUCAUGCUUGGUGUUGGGCGUCUGUCCGCGCUUUCGGCGCGGACUCGCCCCAAAUCCAUUGGCAGCGGCUCCGCCGGCUUCUCGCGCAGCACAUUGCGAUCUUGAAGGCUUUCGGCGGGCUCGCGUCCAUCAAGUAACCCCCAAUUUUGACCUCGAAUCAGGUAGGGAUACCCGCUGAACUUAAGCAUAUCAAUAAGCGGAGGAAAAGAAACCAACAGGGAUUGCCCUAGUAACGGCGAGUGAAGCGGCAAAAGCUCAAAUUUGAAAUCUGGCUCUCUAUGGGAGUCCGAGUUGUAAUUUGCAGAGGGCGCUUUGGUGUCGGCAGCGGUCUAAGUUCCUUGGAACAGGACGUCACAGAGGGUGAGAAUCCCGUACGUGGUCGCUUGCCUUCGCCGUGUAAAGCCCCUUCGACGAGUCGAGUUGUUUGGGAAUGCAGCUCUAAAUGGGAGGUAAAUUUCUCCUAAAGCUAAAUACUGGCCAGAGACCGAUAGCGCACAAGUAGAGUGAUCGAAAGAUGAAAAGCACUUUGGAAAGAGAGUCAAAUAGCACGUGAAAUUGUUAAAAGGGAAGCGCUUGCAGCCAGACUUGCCCGCGGUUGUUUUCUUCCGUGGGCAGGCCAGCAUCAGUUUGGGCGAUCGGAUAAAGGCCUCUGUCACGUAUCUCCCUUCGGGGAGACCUUAUAGGGGAGGCGUAAUGCGAUCAGCCCGGACUGAGGUCCGCGCAUCUGCUAGGAUGCUGGCGUAAUGGCUGUAAGCGGC